GCGCAGGCCGUGGUCGCCGGUCUACUACAAGGGUACUGCAUAGGAGAACCCAUUCUGCCCUCGACCACGGACUUCACCGAGGCAAUUUUCGACACGUUUGCGACGUUGGGCGUCAUUACCGAGGAAGAGUUCGCGCACAUGCUGAUACACCUCGGAAUCGGUGGGGACGAUGGCCACGACCAUGAACACGCCCGUAGGAGGAGGGACGUCAUAGCAACACGCUCGAAGGGGCGGAGCAUAGAGAAGCGAGCUACGGUAUUGGCUGAUGAUCACGACCACGCCAAUCAUAGCCAUUCACACGUUGCGAACGUUACAACGACAUGCUUUUCGAGCGAAGAACUACUUGACAUAUAC
Molecule: long non-coding RNA, 354 nt
Organism: Strongylocentrotus purpuratus (purple sea urchin)
Lineage: Eukaryota; Metazoa; Echinodermata; Echinoidea; Camarodonta; Strongylocentrotidae
Exons: 3
Source: RefSeq, a predicted model, not a curated record